Molecule: long non-coding RNA, 1264 nt
Organism: Saccostrea cuccullata (small rock oyster)
Lineage: Eukaryota; Metazoa; Mollusca; Bivalvia; Ostreida; Ostreidae
Exons: 3
Source: RefSeq, a predicted model, not a curated record
GAAGCGAUCGAGAAAUUUCCUCGACUUAGAAGACAAAGUUACCAUACGUAUUAAAUCUUUACGGUUCUCGAAAUUGAAGCAUCUUCAUGAGAAUCAAAAUAGAAGUGAGACUGAAGCCGAACAUGAACAUAAUUUUUGGUGAAACUACUCCUUGUCCAGUGUCCGCUGCAGCACCACGUGGUUACACCGGCAUCGAUCUAUGCCUGAUGUUGUUUUCUGUAUAGACAUUUUAAAUACCAUGACCCUACAGAUGUUAAUUGGUAUGACGGAAGAAGUAAAAUUUUUGCAGAACAGAUUUUUGUAUGCUGUGUCCAUGUCAGAUACAUAAGGAAAGUUCAAGCCAGAUCUGCUAUAGCAAACUGAACAUAAAGUGGCAUAUUUGUGUGUCAGGAAACAAGGAACAUGUAAUGCUGGACUGAUCGAGAAUCGAAACGGGGAUCCCUGCAUCACCACUUACAUAAAAAGAACUACAUGUACCAGAAGGAGACAGUAAAGAGGAACGGACAUAUCACACCAUAAGACGUGCUUCAAAAUCUGAAUAUACAGAAUGAAUUUUGCUUACUGCAGAUCCUUCUGAAAGAACACGUUUGUUGUAUUGACAUAAAAACAACUGAAUUGUCAGGAUCCUUGAACAUGACGCAUUUGGCUGCAUAUGAUGGCAAUUAAAAAUGCAUACGAGUUUACAUUGAUCUUUGUUAGCUAAUAAGACAAAAAGCAAAAUAGCAAGUUUACCUAUUACCGUACAUGUACUGAAUGUAUUCACUUUAUUUUUUUUUGAACUACAUCAUCAGUUUAAAAAAAGUACAGUAGCACAUGUAUACAGUUUAUGGUGGGAUUCCUCUAACUUUCAUGAAUCUGUUUGCAAAAUCUGUACUUUAAAGUUUCAAAUUAUUACCUCUAAUACAAUGUCUGUGUUUUUUUUUUUUAUAAUUACAUGAUUUUUGUAUGUAUGUAAUGAUAACCAAAUCACCCAAUUUUCCCGCAUUUUUUACCAUGUAUUUAGCUUUUUUUUUUUUAACAUGCUUAAGUGUAUUUAUAUCUGACAACUGAUGACCAGGCAGUCUUCAUUUAACAGUGUAAUUCAUAACACAUUUUAGCUGAAUAUUUUUAGGUCACCUGAGUAAACUCAGGUGACCUAUUGCUAUCUGUUUUCGUCCGUCGUCGUGCGUCGUGCGUCGUGCGUUGUGCGUCGUGCGUUAACAUUUGAACAUUUUCAGCUUCUUCUCUGCAACCGCUCAACCAACUUAAACCAAAUUUGGUAUAA